Molecule: transfer RNA, 66 nt
Filed under: Dendroctonus rufipennis (spruce beetle)
Lineage: Eukaryota; Metazoa; Arthropoda; Insecta; Coleoptera; Curculionidae
Description: tRNA-Asn
Source: RNAcentral
UUAAUCAAAACCAAAAAGAGGUAUUUCAUUGUUAAUGAAAUUAUUGAAGUAGUUAUUCUGAUUAAA